AAAAUAAAGGGGCAUACAUAGUUUUAAAACCCCCUGAUUUUGAUGAUACAGAGUUCCAUAGUUUUGAAGCUAUUACUCCAAGACCAGAGGUGAAUGCCUAUUAUGACUAUGAAGAUGUGAUUGAUUCUGAUGAAGAAGUGGACUUGGCGUCGAUGGCAACUGCUACAUAAAGACAAUUGCAGGUUUUAUAGGAAAAUUAGCAAAAUUUCAAUUUGUAGAUGUACUCUCUCCAUGAUUUUGUGUGUCAAUUAUUUGUUGCUAAAAGUAUUUCUUUUGCUAGCUAUCUUAUAUGGGGAAUCAUAUAUUUCCCAGUUUGUUGUUUUCCUUUGUGUGUGUUUGUGCUGGGCGUUUAUCCGAGCCUGAUCAGAUAUAAAACUUGGUAAAAAGAACUUAUUUCAUCGGAGCCUGUUAUUUUUAGCACCUUAAGGCCUUAGUUGCAGUUGUAUCACUGUUGUUUCAUCUUCCACUAUUACAUUUUACAAAAGCAUACUUGAUUGNGAUAUUCUAGUACUGUUUAAAGGGUGUGGAGAUUGAAUGAAUAAGGAUGGAGAACUAGAGCCUAAACAUAUGAACACAGGAGAGGAUUUUGGAGUCCCAAAUUGGAGAACGUGGAUGAGGAAGGAGUUGCUUCACAAGCAAAUGCCACCUGCUACUUCGCUUAAUAUGCCAAAUCAUCAAGAUGCAAGGCAGUGAUAGGGUAGCUGAGGGAGAUGAAGUUAAAAACAGGCGGGUUUCAAGGUAGAUGGAGCGGACAAAAUCAACUUUUGUCCACUGAAAUUUUGUAGUGAAUCCUUCCCCAUAACUUCAAUAGAGUGUUAAAUUAAACCAUAACCUGAGGACUUGUAAUUUUUGUUCUUUUUCAUCCCCAUCAAAACGGC
RNAcentral lists this unclassified non-coding RNA (878 nucleotides) under Hevea brasiliensis (rubber tree). The record is from RNAcentral. Lineage: Eukaryota; Viridiplantae; Streptophyta; Magnoliopsida; Malpighiales; Euphorbiaceae.